AUUUAAAUAGCUUAUAAAGAGUAUAGUGUUGAAGCUACUAAGGAAGUUAAAAAAACUUUUAAAUA
This 65-nucleotide transfer RNA is filed under the name Basilepta melanopus. RNAcentral's name for it is "tRNA-Phe". Lineage: Eukaryota; Metazoa; Arthropoda; Insecta; Coleoptera; Chrysomelidae. The record is from RNAcentral.